ACGGGAGGCAGCAGUGGGGGAUAUUGCACAAUGGAGGAAACUCUGAUGCAGCAACGCCGCGUGAGGGAAGAAGGUUUUCGGAUUGUAAACCUCUGUUUUUAGUGAAGAAACAAAUGACGGUAGCUAAAGAGGAAGCCACGGCUAACAACGUGCCAGCAGCCGCGGUAAUACGGAGGUGGCAAGCGUUGUCCGGAUUUACUGGGUGUAAAGGGUGCGCAGGCGGGACUGCAAGUUGGAUGUGAAAUGCUGAGGCUUAACCUCGGAGCUGCAUCUGAAACUGUGGUUCUUGAGUGGAGUAGAGGUAAGCGGAAUUCCGCGUGUAGCGGUGAAAUGCGUAGAUAUUCGGAGGAACACCAGUGGCGAAGGCGGCUUACUGGGCUCUAACUGACGCUUAGGCACGAAAGUGUGGGUAGCAAACAGGAUUAGAUACCCUGGUA
This 437-nucleotide ribosomal RNA is filed under the name uncultured Oscillospiraceae bacterium. Its description in RNAcentral is "partial 16S ribosomal RNA". It matches the Rfam family "Bacterial small subunit ribosomal RNA", at positions 341 to 792 of the family's 1533-position model. The record is from RNAcentral. Lineage: Bacteria; Bacillati; Bacillota; Clostridia; Eubacteriales; Oscillospiraceae.